This 592-nucleotide long non-coding RNA is filed under the name Chinchilla lanigera (long-tailed chinchilla). RNAcentral's name for it is "lncRNA (ENSCLAG00000026863.1)". The record is from RNAcentral. Lineage: Eukaryota; Metazoa; Chordata; Mammalia; Rodentia; Chinchillidae.
AGUAUUUUAGAAGGAAUGAGUUCCCACUCCUGCUCAUGUUACUAAGCAGAACAAGUUUCCCCACAUCUAGUAAGAAGACGGAUAUAUAGGAGCCAUGCUCAAAUGAAUUACCACCAUAAACACAGAAAUGAUGAGGCAUUGAAAUUUCAUUUAGCCAACGGCUGAAUCUCAGAAAUAGCCACACAUUUGAAAUCAAGCCAUUUUCUUGGGUACUGAUAAUUAAAAUUAGUGCUGCCACAAAGCCAGAAAGCAGGGCCUUCUGAGACCAGGAAAAGCCAUCUUCAUAAUGGAUACAGGGCUCCAGCCCCACCUUCAGGAGGGAGGAAAGCUGCACAGAGAGGCCAAAAAGAGUCACCCUUGCUGGGUUUUCCUUCCCAGACGUCAGCACUGGAUCAGACCCCCUUUGCCCAGGCCCCUUUCUACAUGACUGUCCAUGCUUAAGUCAUGGCUGUGCAAUAAAGACUCCACAAAAACCAAAAAGAAAGAGUUCAGAGUUUCUAGAUAGCAAAAUCCAUGCGGGUUCCCACAGGGUGGUGCGCCCAUUGGGGUGUGGAAGCUCUGUUCCCCUUCCCCAUACCUCACACUGUGCAUC